Molecule: ribosomal RNA, 484 nt
Filed under: uncultured bacterium
Lineage: Bacteria
Description: partial 16S ribosomal RNA
Rfam family: Bacterial small subunit ribosomal RNA
Source: RNAcentral
AUUGAACGCUGGCGGCAUGCUUUACACAUGCAAGUCGAACGGCAGCGCGGGCUUCGGCCUGGCGGCGAGUGGCGAACGGGUGAGUAAUACAUCGGAACGUGCCCAGUAGUGGGGGAUAGCUGGGCGAAAGCCGGAUUAAUACCGCAUACGACCAGAGGGUGAAAGCGGGGGAUCUUCGGACCUUCCGCUAUUGGAGCGGCCGAUGGCAGAUUAGCUAGUUGGUGGGGUAAAGGCCUACCAAGGCGACGAUCUGUAGCUGGUCUGAGAGGAUGACCAGCCACACUGGCACUGAGACACGGCCCAGACUCCUACGGGAGGCAGCAGUGGGGAAUUUUGGACAAUGGGCGAAAGCCUGAUCCAGCAAUGCCGCGUGUGUGAUGAAGGCCUUCGGGUUGUAAAGCACUUUUGGCGGGAACGAAAAGGACUGUGCCAAUACCACGGUUCGAUGACGGUACCCACAGAAUAAGCACCGGCUAACUACGUG